UUGAACGCUGGCGGCAUGCCUAACACAUGCAAGUCGAACGGUAACAGGACGCUGUGAUCCCUUCGGGGUGAACUUGUCGCUGACGAGUGGCGGACGGGUGAGUAAUACUUAGGAAUCUGCCCAGUAGUGGGGGACAACUCGAGGAAACUCGAGCUAAUACCGCAUACGCCCUACGGGGGAAAGUGGAGGAUCUUCGGACUUCACGCUAUUGGAUGAGCCUAAGUCGGAUUAGCUUGUUGGUGAGGUAACGGCUCACCAAGGCGACGAUCCGUAGCUGGUCUGAGAGGACGAUCAGCCACACUGGGACUGAGACACGGCCCAGACUCCUACGGGAGGCAGCAGUGGGGAAUAUUGGACAAUGGGGGCAACCCUGAUCCAGCAAUGCCGCGUGUGUGAAGAAGGCCUGCGGGUUGUAAAGCACUUUCAGUAGAGAAGAAAAGCUUACGGUUAAUACCCGUGAGUCUUGACGUAACCUACAGAAGAAGCACCGGCUAACUCCGUG
Molecule: ribosomal RNA, 502 nt
Filed under: uncultured bacterium
Lineage: Bacteria
Description: bacterial SSU rRNA
Rfam family: Bacterial small subunit ribosomal RNA
Source: RNAcentral